UACAAGUGCAACCAUGAGUUUUCGCGUCUAAAUUUGAUCGUCCGUCUUAUUUGAAAUUUUUUUAUAAUUAGUAUUUUUGUUGUUAUGAGAUGAUAAAAUAUGAAUAGUACUUUACUCGUGACUUAUGUUUUUAAUUUUUUUUAAAAAAAUUUCAAAUAAGACGAACGAUCAAAGUUGGGUGUGGAAAACCAUGGCUGCACUUAAA
Molecule: non-coding RNA, 205 nt
Organism: Oryza glaberrima (African rice)
Lineage: Eukaryota; Viridiplantae; Streptophyta; Magnoliopsida; Poales; Poaceae
Source: Rfam